Long non-coding RNA from Gossypium arboreum, 333 nucleotides. RefSeq lists it as uncharacterized. Lineage: Eukaryota; Viridiplantae; Streptophyta; Magnoliopsida; Malvales; Malvaceae. The transcript has 2 exons. The record is from RefSeq and is a predicted model, not a curated record.
AAGAAUUAAAUGGAUGAAAUAUGAAAUUUUAUUAAAAGAAAAAGGGGUGAAAAGAACAAAGUUUUGUCCAUCUUUGUUCAUCAUAGCCUAAAGUUAGAGAAGAGAAAGGAGAGGAGAAAGCUCUUAAAUGUUUGGUCACUUGGGGAAGAAAAUUGAAGGCGGUUCGUGUGUGGAUCUCGUCAGCAUAUCAUCGCAAACAGAUGUGUAACUAACACCCUCUUUCUUAGUCUGGAUCGGCAAAAGUCGAAAAGCCAAAAUGCCGAAAACUGAUAUUUUGUAGAUUUGCGAGUGUGCGAAUGCUCGUGAGGUAAAUCGAUUAAUGUUUUUGGUAAA